AACGCACCUUGCGCCUUUUGGUAUUCCGAAAGGCAUGCCUGUUUGAGUGUCAUGAAAUCUCAAUCCCCUCGGGUUUUUUGACCCGGGUGGGGCUUGGACUUGGGCGUCUGCCGGUAACACGGCUCGCCUCAAAUGACUUAGUGGAUCUCUCUGCAUCCGUGUCAGACGUAAUAAGUUUCGUCUCGACCCUUGCUUCUGAGUCUGCUCACAACCCGCCAUCGCGCACUUUAGACUCUGACCUCAAAUCAGGUAGGACUACCCGCUGAACUUAA
RNAcentral lists this unclassified non-coding RNA (272 nucleotides) under uncultured Tremellales. RNAcentral's name for it is "sequence contains 5.8S rRNA gene, ITS2, 28S rRNA gene". The stretch from base 1 to 52 matches the Rfam family "5.8S ribosomal RNA", at positions 103 to 154 of the family's 154-position model. The record is from RNAcentral. Lineage: Eukaryota; Fungi; Basidiomycota; Tremellomycetes; Tremellales.